This 398-nucleotide small RNA is filed under the name Oryza sativa Japonica Group (Japanese rice). RNAcentral describes it as "sRNA Os08g0190901". Lineage: Eukaryota; Viridiplantae; Streptophyta; Magnoliopsida; Poales; Poaceae. The record is from RNAcentral.
UUCUAGAAUGGUUAGCCAGGUACAUAGUUCUUGAACACAUGUCACUAUUUUUCAACCGCUAGAUUCCAAGUACAAUAUCUCAUUGACACGGCAUUACAAGAUUAUCAUGGAUGGCACAGGAGUUGACAUUACACAUUGCUUUGCUUAUACAGCUUCGUGUCCAGCACUUGCUUCCCGCACAUUGCACAUACACCUUUUGAAUAUGCACAGGUGUGGCAGUACUUGGCGUCCUGGUGGACCUGCUGCUUGCAGAUUACACAUUUAGUGUUUCCAUAUGGAGGAUCGACCUGUUCUUCUUGGAGAGGAGCUUGUUCUCGUUGAUCUUGCGGCCGCCGCUCUCGUUGGUGUUGCUGGCCCCCUCCUUCCACUUGUCCGGCACGAUCACCUUCCCCAGCUUC